Mya arenaria is the source of this 1085-nucleotide long non-coding RNA. RefSeq lists it as uncharacterized. The record is from RefSeq and is a predicted model, not a curated record. Lineage: Eukaryota; Metazoa; Mollusca; Bivalvia; Myida; Myidae. The transcript has 5 exons.
GAGCUCUCCCUGGAUGGAAACUCUGUGCCAUCUUCCCUGGGAGCAUACAAGUUAGAGAGAGUUUAUCUGUCAACCAUGUCCCUGUGGUUAUACCACACUCACUACAGGGGCCUCUAGCAGGAACAAGCGUAUACUGGACCCAGAAGCAGCACAAUGUGAGAGAUGAGGUUUAUCCUCACAGCGUUUAGAGGCAGAAAAUGGGUUCCAGUGGCAGUGUGAGGAAGGAUUUACACUCAAUUGGAACUCCUGCUCACCUUUCGUUGCUGUUUGGGACAUAAAAGUUAAGCCAGCAGCCGUCUACCAGACUGCAAGAUUCUUCUCUUCAUAAAGGAUGUCAUUUCCAGAUACACUGUGUUGGGUGUGGGCAAAAAUGCAGAGUGGUACCACAAGUCACCUAAGCCACCAUUCCCCUCACAGGCAUAAGGCUCAUGGGGAUGGUUCCAGCAAAGCUCACAAUUGUAGCCCUACAAACUUCAGGACCUCUUUUUUGGGUGGAUGGUUUCAGAGAUGCGGCCAUGACUGUGGCACAUGGACAUUAUAGAUAGAGACAGUAAGGAAAUGGUGAUAGCAGAAAAACGAAACUAUCUUAAUAUGGUUUUCUGAUGUUAAAUCAACAAAGUGUUCAUAAUAUGUGGAAAAAUAAUCUCAUAGCUGAAAUCUAUUUUGCAAAUUCAUAAUAAAGUGGUGAUUUUACAUAGAAUAAGAAGGGCAAUUUCGUUGUUUGCCAUCACCUCUUGUGGCAGCAGUUAGUGCAGUGUUCUAGGGAUCAUCAUCUUUGCUGCCAUUGUCUUUGUUUGUUUUUGCAGGUGAAAUUCUCGUUCACAUUACAACUUGUAAAAGCAUGCUUAUGUUGUAAAUUAUUACUAAAGGGCCAAAAUUUAAACUCAUUAUUAGCAUGUUUUCGUUUGGUUUCAUUUCUAUUUUAUCGUGAAUUUCAAAAUGAUCCCUCAUACUUUAAUGUUCUUGCCUUUUAUAGGCACACGGGCAACUGUCAUAACAAGGCUCCAAAUAACAUCAACUUGUACCUCUGGGAUCUUUGCUUGAGUUUUUGGGCGUUUGCCAACAGCCCUUUGGCAACUGGCUGA